ACAAACGCCUUCGGAAUUGCCGCUGUUGCGCUGCAUGUGCAUGUAACCAUCCAUUCCCCAACUUUUACCCCAUGAGUUCUUCACAAUCCAAUAAUCAACUCCAUUUUCUGAUCCAUAUCCUACAAUCAACACAGCAUGAUCCAAAGAAGUUGAACAUGGACCGGAGAAAAUUCCCUACCAAGCAAGUAAAUACAACUCAUGAUUUUCAGUUAUAGUUUCAUAUAUGAUGGAAUCUCAUCAAAUAGCAGUUUCGAGUAGGACCAACCUUUGAGUAUAAUUGAAAGGCUCUCUCACUGCCACAUAUGCCAACACUCACAGGUUGAGCUGCUACUGCUUGCAGUAAUUUUCCUUCAUCAUUUGAAGGAAUAUC
RNAcentral lists this long non-coding RNA (370 nucleotides) under Cucumis sativus (cucumber). RNAcentral describes it as "long non-coding RNA (CSAT_LNC000730)". Lineage: Eukaryota; Viridiplantae; Streptophyta; Magnoliopsida; Cucurbitales; Cucurbitaceae. The record is from RNAcentral.